RNAcentral lists this ribosomal RNA (2904 nucleotides) under Escherichia coli. Its description in RNAcentral is "bacterial LSU rRNA". It matches the Rfam family "Bacterial large subunit ribosomal RNA". The record is from RNAcentral. Lineage: Bacteria; Pseudomonadati; Pseudomonadota; Gammaproteobacteria; Enterobacterales; Enterobacteriaceae.
UUAAGCGACUAAGCGUACACGGUGGAUGCCCUGGCAGUCAGAGGCGAUGAAGGACGUGCUAAUCUGCGAUAAGCGUCGGUGAGGUGAUAUGAACCGUUAUAACCGGCGAUUUCCGAAUGGGGAAACCCAGUGUGUUUCGACACACUAUCAUUAACUGAAUCCAUAGGUUAAUGAGGCGAACCGGGGGAACUGAAACAUCUAAGUACCCCGAGGAAAAGAAAUCAACCGAGAUUCCCCCAGUAGCGGCGAGCGAACGGGGAGGAGCCCAGAGCCUGAAUCAGUGUGUGUGUUAGUGGAAGCGUCUGGAAAGGCGUGCGAUACAGGGUGACAGCCCCGUACACAAAAAUGCACAUAUUGUGAGCUCGAUGAGUAGGGCGGGACACGUGGUAUCCUGUCUGAAUAUGGGGGGACCAUCCUCCAAGGCUAAAUACUCCUGACUGACCGAUAGUGAACCAGUACCGUGAGGGAAAGGCGAAAAGAACCCCGGCGAGGGGAGUGAAAAAGAACCUGAAACCGUGUACGUACAAGCAGUGGGAGCCUCUUAAUGGGGUGACUGCGUACCUUUUGUAUAAUGGGUCAGCGACUUAUAUUCUGUAGCAAGGUUAACCGAAUAGGGGAGCCGAAGGGAAACCGAGUCUUAACUGGGCGUUAAGUUGCAGGGUAUAGACCCGAAACCCGGUGAUCUAGCCAUGGGGCAGGUUGAAGGUUGGGUAACACUAACUGGAGGACCGAACCGACUAAUGUUGAAAAAUUAGCGGAUGACUUGUGGCUGGGGGUGAAAGGCCAAUCAAACCGGGAGAUAGCUGGUUCUCCCCGAAAGCUAUUUAGGUAGCGCCUCGUGAAUUCAUCUCCGGGGGUAGAGCACUGUUUCGGCAAGGGGGUCAUCCCGACUUACCAACCCGAUGCAAACUGCGAAUACCGGAGAAUGUUAUCACGGGAGACACACGGCGGGUGCUAACGUCCGUCGUGAAGAGGGAAACAACCCAGACCGCCAGCUAAGGUCCCAAAGUCAUGGUUAAGUGGGAAACGAUGUGGGAAGGCCCAGACAGCCAGGAUGUUGGCUUAGAAGCAGCCAUCAUUUAAAGAAAGCGUAAUAGCUCACUGGUCGAGUCGGCCUGCGCGGAAGAUGUAACGGGGCUAAACCAUGCACCGAAGCUGCGGCAGCGACGCUUAUGCGUUGUUGGGUAGGGGAGCGUUCUGUAAGCCUGUGAAGGUGUACUGUGAGGUAUGCUGGAGGUAUCAGAAGUGCGAAUGCUGACAUAAGUAACGAUAAAGCGGGUGAAAAGCCCGCUCGCCGGAAGACCAAGGGUUCCUGUCCAACGUUAAUCGGGGCAGGGUGAGUCGACCCCUAAGGCGAGGCCGAAAGGCGUAGUCGAUGGGAAACAGGUUAAUAUUCCUGUACUUGGUGUUACUGCGAAGGGGGGACGGAGAAGGCUAUGUUGGCCGGGCGACGGUUGUCCCGGUUUAAGCGUGUAGGCUGGUUUUCCAGGCAAAUCCGGAAAAUCAAGGCUGAGGCGUGAUGACGAGGCACUACGGUGCUGAAGCAACAAAUGCCCUGCUUCCAGGAAAAGCCUCUAAGCAUCAGGUAACAUCAAAUCGUACCCCAAACCGACACAGGUGGUCAGGUAGAGAAUACCAAGGCGCUUGAGAGAACUCGGGUGAAGGAACUAGGCAAAAUGGUGCCGUAACUUCGGGAGAAGGCACGCUGAUAUGUAGGUGAAGCGACUUGCUCGUGGAGCUGAAAUCAGUCGAAGAUACCAGCUGGCUGCAACUGUUUAUUAAAAACACAGCACUGUGCAAACACGAAAGUGGACGUAUACGGUGUGACGCCUGCCCGGUGCCGGAAGGUUAAUUGAUGGGGUUAGCGGUAACGCGAAGCUCUUGAUCGAAGCCCCGGUAAACGGCGGCCGUAACUAUAACGGUCCUAAGGUAGCGAAAUUCCUUGUCGGGUAAGUUCCGACCUGCACGAAUGGCGUAAUGAUGGCCAGGCUGUCUCCACCCGAGACUCAGUGAAAUUGAACUCGCUGUGAAGAUGCAGUGUACCCGCGGCAAGACGGAAAGACCCCGUGAACCUUUACUAUAGCUUGACACUGAACAUUGAGCCUUGAUGUGUAGGAUAGGUGGGAGGCUUUGAAGUGUGGACGCCAGUCUGCAUGGAGCCGACCUUGAAAUACCACCCUUUAAUGUUUGAUGUUCUAACGUUGGCCCCUGAUCGGGGUUGCGGACAGUGUCUGGUGGGUAGUUUGACUGGGGCGGUCUCCUCCUAAAGAGUAACGGAGGAGCACGAAGGUUGGCUAAUCCUGGUCGGACAUCAGGAGGUUAGUGCAAUGGCAUAAGCCAGCUUGACUGCGAGCGUGACGGCGCGAGCAGGUGCGAAAGCAGGUCAUAGUGAUCCGGUGGUUCUGAAUGGAAGGGCCAUCGCUCAACGGAUAAAAGGUACUCCGGGGAUAACAGGCUGAUACCGCCCAAGAGUUCAUAUCGACGGCGGUGUUUGGCACCUCGAUGUCGGCUCAUCACAUCCUGGGGCUGAAGUAGGUCCCAAGGGUAUGGCUGUUCGCCAUUUAAAGUGGUACGCGAGCUGGGUUUAGAACGUCGUGAGACAGUUCGGUCCCUAUCUGCCGUGGGCGCUGGAGAACUGAGGGGGGCUGCUCCUAGUACGAGAGGACCGGAGUGGACGCAUCACUGGUGUUCGGGUUGUCAUGCCAAUGGCACUGCCCGGUAGCUAAAUGCGGAAGAGAUAAGUGCUGAAAGCAUCUAAGCACGAAACUUGCCCCGAGAUGAGUUCUCCCUGAGACUUUAAGUCUCCUGAAGGAACGUUGAAGACGACGACGUUGAUAGGCCGGGUGUGUAAGCGCAGCGAUGCGUUGAGCUAACCGGUACUAAUGAACCGUGAGGCUUAACCUU